UACCGACACAUGUCUAGUUCCAUAUCAUUUCGCAUUCUUAGGUUCCGCCUGCCGUGUUUCCACCGGACGUCUGUGUAAGUCGGACCCGUUCAAGAUGUCCGUGGAGCAGGCGAGCGCGAGAGGGACGGCCGGUGACACUGAGGAGGACAAAUCUCACCUGAUUAAAGGGUGUAAUAGGAACUGCUGCGGUGCCAGAAAGCGGUGCAUCGUUAGCGUUGCGGGCGUUGGGAUGGGGCUCCCUUUACGCCUGGUGUGGGGUUGGUCUCCUGAGCUUCACCGUUUGGAAGGCUCUAGGCGUCCACAGCCGGAAGGAAUUUCGUCAGAAAAUGCAGUCCAUUUUCCCCGCCAUUCCCAAAAAUGAAGAGGCUCAAGAGAAUUCUGCUCCAUUUGACUGGAAUUCCAUCUUCAAGUCAAAAUGAGAAACAAUUACAGUCUAUUAUCAAGAACGCACAGCCUUAACUGACUGCCUGGAAAGAUUAUUUAUCAGAUGGUCAGUCUGGUUAAGUGCGAGUCAACCAGUCGGUUCAAUCAGCCAAUUUUAGAUCCAGUAUCAAGUUUGAGGUCACAGCACUGGAAAAUGCCUCGAUGAAGGCCUGGACAAUUCAACAUGGUUGUUUGUCUCAAUUUCUUGUGCCACACUGGAUUUUUCACAGCCUGAGCCACGAGACUUUGACUCUGCACUUGCAGUCACAAGUGUGGAAGUUUUAUGUUUGAACGUACUGUACUAUCUCAGUUAUUUAAUUAGCUUUUUUUUUUGGUAACCAUACUUUUGGCACAUUUGUGUGGGCCUAGCAAAUAAUAUUACUGCCCUUUGACUGGUGGUGUUUAUACAUUAAAUAUCAAACUAAAGCAGCCACUGUGUUAAAGUGGCAUCAUGUGAUGACAAGGUCUAAUAAAAGCUUCAAGGGACAGAGGAUGAAAACAUGUGCCCUGCAGUGACUGAAGAACAGCUACAGAAUGACAGCCUUGCGUCAGUGUGAGCGUUUUCUGUGCAUUUAGGGUCGUGUAAUCUGGUUAAACUGUGGAUGUGACCGAAGCAGCACAGAGCACUGGAUAGACAGGAAAAAAACGUUAACCAGAACCCAUUAACCUUAACUGCCAGGAAACUCCGUCUUUUGCUUUUUAAAUAUUACAAUAUUGAGGAUAUACAUGGUAAAUUAAAUUUUUUUGGGCACUCUGACACGAAAAAAAAUAACACAACACUGAAAAACGACGUUCACAGUUCUCGACCAAAUUUCAUGUACAUUUACUUUUAACAUGUGGAACAUGUAUAAAGACUUUAUACUGAAUAAACAAUGGUCAUCAAAUCAUAUGGAGCAAAAAGAGCUUACAUAAAGAGUUGUACAUAUUUUUUGUUAAAAUCAUUAAGUCGUUUUGGGGUAACGUUCACAUUGAAUUACAUUUAUUCCAUCAGACGUCUUUCAGUUAGCUUGUAAUUUCCAAAAUCUAAGGCCAUUAGAGGGAGCCACAGCUAUCUCUGGCACACAGAACUCUAUUAUAGGACACACAGGAAAGUCUUUGGGGGCGUUCGUUCACAGAGGACAAAUUCUUGCAUCCUUCGGAACUGAACAGGUGUGUUUAUGCGUUCCCACAUACAGU
Long non-coding RNA from Sinocyclocheilus rhinocerous, 1599 nucleotides. RefSeq lists it as uncharacterized. The transcript is spliced from 3 exons. The record is from RefSeq and is a predicted model, not a curated record. NCBI's taxonomy places the organism in Eukaryota, Metazoa, Chordata, Actinopteri, Cypriniformes, Cyprinidae.